This 465-nucleotide ribosomal RNA is filed under the name uncultured bacterium. Its description in RNAcentral is "partial 16S ribosomal RNA". It matches the Rfam family "Bacterial small subunit ribosomal RNA", at positions 27 to 506 of the family's 1533-position model. The record is from RNAcentral.
GGACGAACGCUGGCGGCGUGCUUAACACAUGCAAGUCGAACGGAAAGGCCCUGCUUGCAGGGUACUCGAGUGGCGAACGGGUGAGUAACACGUGGGUGAUCUGCCCUGCACUUCGGGAUAAGCCUGGGAAACUGGGUCUAAUACCGGAUAGGAGCCAUUUUUAGUGUGAUGGUUGGAAAGUUUUUUCGGUGUAGGAUGAGCUCGCGGCCUAUCAGCUUGUUGGUGGGGUAAUGGCCUACCAAGGCGGCGACGGGUAGCCGGCCUGAGAGGGUGGACGGCCACAUUGGGACUGAUAUACGGCCCAGACUCCUACGGGAGGCAGCAGUGGGGAAUAUUGCACAAUGGGCGCAAGCCUGAUGCAGCGACGCCGCGUGGGGGAUGACGGCCUUCGGGUUGUAAACUCCUUUCGCUAGGGACGAAGCUUUUUGUGACGGUACCUAGAUAAGAAGCACCGGCUAACUACGU